RNAcentral lists this ribosomal RNA (480 nucleotides) under uncultured bacterium. RNAcentral describes it as "partial 16S ribosomal RNA". It matches the Rfam family "Bacterial small subunit ribosomal RNA", at positions 28 to 523 of the family's 1533-position model. The record is from RNAcentral.
GAUGAACGCUGGCGGCGUGCCUAACACAUGCAAGUCGAACGGUUAAGGCGGCUUCGGCCGCGAAUAAAGUGGCGAACGGGUGAGUAGCGCGUGACCGACCUUCCCCCCGCACCGGGACAACCGCGGGAAACCGCGGCUGAUACCGGGUACUCCGGGGCCCGCGCAUGGGGGCCCCGGGAAAGCUCCGGCGGCGGGGGAUGGGGUCGCGGCCCAUCAGGUAGUAGGCGGGGCAACGGCCCACCUAGCCGACGACGGGUAGCCGGGUUGAGAGACCGACCGGCCACAUUGGGACUGAGACACGGCCCAGACUCCUACGGGAGGCAGCAGUGGGGAAUUUUGCGCAAUGGGGGCAACCCUGACGCAGCAACGCCGCGUGCGGGACGACGGCCUUCGGGUUGUAAACCGCUUUCAGCAGGGAAGAACCUAAGACGGUACCUGCAGAAGAAGCCCCGGCUAACUACGUGCCAGCCGCCGCGGUAA